Non-coding RNA from Salmo salar (Atlantic salmon), 54 nucleotides. NCBI's taxonomy places the organism in Eukaryota, Metazoa, Chordata, Actinopteri, Salmoniformes, Salmonidae. The record is from Rfam.
UGCACUCACUACUGUAAGUCGCUCUGGAUAAGAGCGUCUGCUAAAUGACUGAAA